RNAcentral lists this non-coding RNA (117 nucleotides) under Chlorocebus sabaeus (green monkey). Lineage: Eukaryota; Metazoa; Chordata; Mammalia; Primates; Cercopithecidae. The record is from Rfam by way of RNAcentral.
GCUGGGCGUGGUGGCUCACGCCUGUAAUCCCAGCACUUUGGGAAGCUGAGGUGGGCGGUUCACUUGAGGUCAGGAGUUUGAGACCAGCCUGGCCAACAUGGUGAAACCCCGUCUCUA